GACGAACGCUGGCGGCGUGCUUAACACAUGCAAGUCGAACGGAAAGGCCCUGCUUUUGUGGGGUGCUCGAGUGGCGAACGGGUGAGUAACACGUGAGUAACCUGCCCUUGACUUUGGGAUAACUUCAGGAAACUGGGGCUAAUACCGGAUAGGAGCUCCUGCUGCAUGGUGGGGGUUGGAAAGUUUCGGCGGUUGGGGAUGGACUCGCGGCUUAUCAGCUUGUUGGUGGGGUAGUGGCUUACCAAGGCUUUGACGGGUAGCCGGCCUGAGAGGGUGACCGGGCACAUUGGGACUGAGAUACGGCCCAGACUCCUACGGGAGGCAGAAGUGGGGAAUAUUGCACAAUGGGCGGAAGCCUGAUGCAGCAACGCCGCGUGCGGGAUGACGGCCUUCGGGUUGUAAACCGCUUUCGCCUGUGACGAAGCGUGAGUGACGGUAAUGGGUAAAGAAGCACCGGCUAACUACGUG
This 468-nucleotide ribosomal RNA is filed under the name uncultured bacterium. RNAcentral's name for it is "partial 16S ribosomal RNA". It matches the Rfam family "Bacterial small subunit ribosomal RNA", at positions 28 to 507 of the family's 1533-position model. The record is from RNAcentral.